GAUGAACGCUGGCGGCGUGCUUAACACAUGCAAGUCGAACGGAAAGGCUCCUGCUUGCAGGGGUACUCGAGUGGCGAACGGGUGAGUAACACGUGGGUGAUCUGCCCUGCACUUCGGGAUAAGCCUGGGAAACUGGGUCUAAUACCGGAUAGGACGAUGUUUUGCAUGCCAUUGUGGAAAGUUUUUCGGUGUGGGAUGAGCUCGCGGCCUAUCCGCUUGUUGGUGGGGUAAUGGCCGACCAAGGCGUCGACGGGUAGCCGGCCUGGGAGGGUGUAAGGGCACAGUGGGACUGAGAUACGGCCCAGACGCCUACGUGAGGCAGGAGUGGGAAAUAUUGCACAAUAGGCGCAAGCCUGAUGCAGCGACGCCGGGUGGGGAAUGACGGCCUUCGGGUUGUAAACACCGUGCGAGAGGGACGAAGCGCAAGUGACGGUACCUGGAGAGGAAGCACCGGCUAACUACGUG
This 465-nucleotide ribosomal RNA is filed under the name uncultured bacterium. RNAcentral's name for it is "partial 16S ribosomal RNA". It matches the Rfam family "Bacterial small subunit ribosomal RNA", at positions 28 to 507 of the family's 1533-position model. The record is from RNAcentral.